Molecule: long non-coding RNA, 1891 nt
Organism: Motacilla alba alba
Lineage: Eukaryota; Metazoa; Chordata; Aves; Passeriformes; Motacillidae
Exons: 5
Source: RefSeq, a predicted model, not a curated record
CUUUGCAAGCUGAGCCUCUAAUGAGCCAUAAUGGCUCAUUAUUGUGUGGAUGGAUUUACUUCUUCGUAAGUGUUAUGAUGCAAAAUAGCACAUUGGGCUUGUUCUGUGAGCAUUUAACAGGUGUUCAGAAGAAUGAUGUCAACUGUUAUUCAUAUUCUUGCUUCGUAUGGAUGGAGUUUCUAACUGAUCUAGGCAAGAAAAACAGACAACUUCCUUGGUACAUAAAUUCUGCAGGGCAGCCUGGGAUUGAAAUGAUUGUUACUUUCUCCAGAAAUGUUGGUUAUGGUUGAGUUAUAAGGAGCACAACAGCACUAGUACUGCAAAUUUAACCUCGACACAUCAGAAGUAACUGAGUGCCAAAGAACCAAUCACAGAUUAUGUUUCUUCAUGUUGUGGAGAUGCCACUCACUUUUAAAUAACUUUUUAAAUACUGAGGACGAAUUGAUGGAACAAUUUGGUGCCUUCUGUCACAUAAAGAGAUUCAGCAGGGAGCAACAGUGAGCACAAAGACAGGAAGAAAACGGAGGCUGAAUCUUUCUUUGGUCCUGGAGCAGAGCACCUGAAAAUGGGUGAAGAGCUUCCUGAAGCCACACUCAAUGGGCAGGAAACACAACCCUGUCCUUUGUAGCUGGCCAAGAACUGCGACCAGGAAAUGUCUAACAAAGCAACAUAAGCAGGGCAGAGGAACAAGUCUGACUCUGUCUCUUCCAGCAACCCAUGCUUGUUUCCAACAUGUUUUUCACUACGACUCUUUUCACACUGACAGCAGUUCCUGCUGAUUUACUAACUCUGCAGGACAGCCAUGCCUUGGACCUGCCUAUCUAUCAUUAAAUCCCUCCAACUGGUAAAUUUUCAUGCAACAUAGCCCCAGUAUUCCAUUAUAGGUCUUGUUUCUAGCCAAGCAUAGUGAGUCUUUAUUUCUGUUAGAUUCAGCUCUAGAGAAAAUGCUCAACUGAAGCUUCCUUGCAAGGAUCUGAGAAACUUACUGCGAGGAAAAUUUACAAAAUCCUCUAAAUUUACACAAAGUUUGUGGAGGUCACCUAGACACUUCAGUCUAAUAACUCCGUUAUGAUUGUGUCUUCUUUGCUUAUUAUGCCCUUCAUAUUCACUAUAUAAUAGAGUUUUCACUUUGAGAUCUGCAAAUAAGCUCAUUCACAUGUUAAACAUUUCAGCCUUCCAGGAUGGCAAUCACUGGAAGACUAGGUAGCUAUUAUUAUGUUUUGACCCACAGAUGAGAACAUUUCUUCAAGCUGAGAAGGCAGUUGCAAAUCACUUGCCUUCUUUUUUUUUUUCUCUAGACUCAGGUGAAUAGAUUUGCAUUAUUGUUGCACUCUUGGAUAUUUUAAUUUUCAAACCAAUGCACUUGAAAGUUUAAAUAACCUUUUUUGUCAUGGUGGGAAUUUACUUAGAUUGUGGGGUUACUUAUAAUUUAGGUAAAGUUCAAAUCACACUGGCAGGCAAGUCUGUUUAAGCGCAACCAUCUGUGACAAAAAAAAGCAGUCACUGCCACCUAAGGCAGCAAACAUGGUACAAAAUAUCACCUUAAUAUGUCCCUCAUUUCUUUUCCCCUUGUCUCCAAAUUGUAUAAAAGUUGCCACAUAAGAAUAUAGGUCACUUAUGCAGGUCUUUUAAAAGGGACCCUUAAUCUUUUAACACAUCAUUUACACAGAAUUGCUCCUGAAGUAAAUCUUUCUAUACCUAAUUGGUGGACAUAUUCCCACUCCUGCUGGGACCUGAUCCAGCCAUCUCAGAUGUCAGCACAGAGACUUUAGGUGUACAAGCUGAAGCAAUCCAUUAUUUAGCAGCAGGCUGGAACCCCUGCUGCAAUGCCACCGCAGCUCGCGUCACGUUGUGAUCUGAGUUUCCUGGAACAAUAACCAUCCAGAGCCAC